Molecule: ribosomal RNA, 253 nt
Filed under: uncultured bacterium
Lineage: Bacteria
Description: partial 16S ribosomal RNA
Rfam family: Bacterial small subunit ribosomal RNA
Source: RNAcentral
UACGUAGGGGGCAAGCGUUAUCCGGAAUUACUGGGUGUAAAGGGAGCGUAGACGGUAAUGUAAGUCUGGAGUGAAAGGCGGGGGCCCAACCCCCGGACUGCUCUGGAAACUAUGUUACUAGAGUGCAGGAGAGGUAAGCGGAAUUCCUAGUGUAGCGGUGAAAUGCGUAGAUAUUAGGAGGAACACCAGUGGCGAAGGCGGUCUGCUGGACAGCAACUGACGCUGAGGCGCGAAAGCGUGGGGAGCAAACAGG